CAGGUACUCCCUCUGACCCAUAUUACUUGUCUCAAAUUUUCCAAAAUAUGGAUGUAUCUAUGUUUAAAAAGCGUCUAGAUACAUGCAAUAUUUUGAGAAGUAAUAUGGGUCGGAGGGAGUAAAAG
Molecule: non-coding RNA, 125 nt
Organism: Brachypodium distachyon (stiff brome)
Lineage: Eukaryota; Viridiplantae; Streptophyta; Magnoliopsida; Poales; Poaceae
Source: Rfam